CCGUAUAUUAAACUAAAAUUAACUGACAGAAAUCUAUCUCCUUUUCUUUACCUUUAUUCAUCUUUCUAGGCACCUUCCUUUCCGCUGCACUGUCAUAGAUCCAGAGAGAUGUUGCUAGAGCCCCAGUAGAUUCUUCAGAUAAGUCUUCAUUGUCUAUGGUGGUGUUCAGGUCGCUCAGCUAUUCAAGAUCCGCCACCAGUGCUGUCGUCUUGUCUGAGUCUUCGUUGCCGACUUCAGCGGAUGAGGAUUCAUCUUUAGUGAAAAAAUCAUUCUAUUGUUAUGAGCUAGCCAGCUAAUGUGGUCGAUGAGGGUGAGAGUGGAUUUUGUAUCUUGCAUAAGCACUCGAGUAUUGCAGCAACAAAGGCCGUGCCUUGUACUCUUGUUUGACCAGUGACCCUUGUAUGGAGAAUUCCACAUAAGCCUCCAUCAAUAAUUCGGCUGCUCUUGGUUCUUCAGACGAUGGUACGUUUCAUUAACAGUUAUACAUUUGUUGUGAAUUAGAGGAUUCAGUAACCUGAUGUUCACAUUGUUAAACAUCAUGCGAUAUGUAUGUGUGUAUGUUUCACAUGCCCUUAAUUUUGGUGGAGACUGGGAACCCCUUGCAGAUCGUGAACCAAGUCAAUUACUCGUUAUAGCACGCUGGCCCUUCCCAUGGACUGUCCGUGUACUGAUUUUGGCCCUUCCCAUGGACUGUCUGUGGACUGUUCAUGUACUGAACUCAAAUCAGUACACGGACAGUCCAUGGGAAGGACAAGCGUGCUGAUAUGAGUUCAGUACAUGAAUAGUCCACAGACAAACUCUCUGGACUAAACAAAGGAAGGAGACAGGUUGGUGUGGCUAUGCUCGGGUUCAAAGCAAAGGAAUGAGUCACUUAGGAGCAGAUAUAUCUAGAUAACAUCUAAGGCACUGGCGUUUUUGCAGGAUCCUUAACAGAAAUAAUAUUUUUUUCUUUUUUCAAAUUUAAUAUUUGUGUGUAUGCUUAAUGAUCAAAAGUAUGUUUGUCGAAUUGUAUUACAAUGUAAAUAAUUUUAUUUAUUCUUUAUAUUUAUUUUUUUCACUGGUUA
Long non-coding RNA from Brassica oleracea var. oleracea, 1064 nucleotides. RefSeq lists it as uncharacterized. The transcript has 3 exons. NCBI's taxonomy places the organism in Eukaryota, Viridiplantae, Streptophyta, Magnoliopsida, Brassicales, Brassicaceae. The record is from RefSeq and is a predicted model, not a curated record.